This 2104-nucleotide long non-coding RNA is filed under the name Homo sapiens (human). RNAcentral's name for it is "long non-coding RNA NONHSAT206620.1". Lineage: Eukaryota; Metazoa; Chordata; Mammalia; Primates; Hominidae. The record is from RNAcentral.
GGAAAACAUUCCCUCAGGCUGGGCAUUAUCAAAUAUUUAAGACAAACUUUAACGACAGUCAACUUGGCCUCAUUUUUCUAUGUGCUCUGUCUGACACAUUCAGAAAACUUGCACCUGGGCACAAAGUUGUUCGUCCAAACUCACUGCCCCUGUUAUUGGCUAACUGGAAGGGCUAGGAUCCAGCCGUGCUUGGAAUUAGGCAAUUGCCAUUGUAAUUCCUUUACUAAGAACAAUGACCAUUUUACAUCGCACUUAGAGUUUUUCAGGUAGGUUAUAGGCAGCAUGUAUUUAUUCUUUUCAAUAACCUCACACAUCACGCCCUUUUUACAGAUGAUGAAUGGAACAAAGAGAGCACUGAGCCAAAGCGGAGGCUGUCUAGUCAAGGUCUCCACCUGCCGCGGGACUGGGGAGAACGGUGUGGCCUCAAGGUCUCCACCUGCCGUGGGACUGGGGAGAACGGUGUGACCUCAAGCAUAUAGCACCAUAGCACUCCUGGGCUGAAAGCCAGCAGCAGCCCCCACUGUCCAUUAGAUGAAGUCCAAAUUCUUUAGCAAGACAUAUGAGCAGUUCCUCAUCAGAUGCAAAAUCUACUUCACUUGUCUCAUUUCCCACUCUUUCCCAUUUUCCUAAAAGCACUGGGCUCCAGCCACACAACUCUAUGCUAUUCCCCGUAUACAACUUACUCAAAUGCACCACCAAGUUUUGCAGAUGGCCCUUGGCCAGACGCCCUCCUCCUUCCUCAUUUUGAAAACAUUCACUUAACUGAGCUCAGCUGUCAUGACUCCAGAAUGAUCUCCCCUAAGGUCUUCAGGUAAAGUGGGUCACUACAAUACAGGUACAGCAAGGCAAAAUUGUCUCCCAUAUUACAGUUGGCCCUCCAUAUCCAUGGGUUCUGCAUCUAUGGAUUCAACCAUCCACAGACAGAAAAUAUUUUUUGAUUGCUUCUGUAUUGAACUUGUACAGACCUUUAUUUCUUGUCAUUAUUCACUGAACAAUACAACAACUGUUUACCUAGCCUUUACAUGUAUUAGUUAUUCUAAAUAAUCUAGAGAUGAUUUAAAGUACACAGGAGGGUGUUUCUAGGUUAUAUGCAAAUACCAUGCCAUUUUAUAUCAGGGACUUGAGCAUCCAUGGAUUUUGGCAUCCAAACAGGUUCCUGGAACCAAUCCCCCUGUAAGGAACAUGGUUGUACUUUGGUCAAGGAUAGGCAGAGAUAAACAUCCAGAAUGACUCCACGAGUUUAGAGUGCAGGUGCAUAAUUCCACUUGCUAUCACAGCCAUGUAGCCAUAACACGGGAAGGCUCAUCAUUUGACUCUAAGCCACUAUUGCCUGUAAAAAGUAUAAUUGUCCUGCUGACACUGUACAGAUGCUCACACCCAGAGAAAGGAAGAGGGCCAAAGCUGUCCAUCUUGCAGACGGACAGGAGGGAGCCAGGACACAGCUCGGCUUGCUUGUGCCCAGAGAGAGAAAGAGUGAAGCUGCUGAACCCGAAGGCAGGGGAGAGCCAGCCACACAGUUGUGGGUGGGAGCCACUGGACUAAGCAGCCAAGACAGGGUGAACAGUGUAGGAAAGCUGCUGAUGAGAGGACAAAGUAAAAGAGCUAAUAUAAGUAAGCUGUUUAUGAGAGCUGCUGCUGAAUAAAACCACAUUGCACUUGCCUACAGCCCCCCAAGUGUUCUUUCAGCUAUCUACUCAUCGACUCACUCCCUCCGGACCUCAGCAUGGGCUGAAACCUGACCCCAAGGGUGAUAUUUGGUGUAGUCAUGGACCUGACACCCCACAGACACUGAAGGAUGACUGUAUAUUAUUAUUGGGUUAUUCCUUAUAUGUUCAUCUUUGCAAUUAGACUAUGAACUGAUCUAACGUGGAAAUGGUUUCUCACUCAUCUUUGUAUCUUCCCCUGCCUCUGAGAACCAGGUAUGUGCUCAAAACUGCCUGUGGGCAUUGCAAUAGCAAAGAUAUGGAAUCAAUAUAGGUGUCCAUCAAUGGAUGAGUGGAUAAAGAAAAUGUGGUGUAUAUACACAAUGGAGUACUACUCAGUCAUAAAUGAGAAUGAAAUCCCAUCAUUUGCCACAACAUGGAACUGGAGGUCAUUAGUUAAG